This 292-nucleotide ribosomal RNA is filed under the name uncultured bacterium. RNAcentral describes it as "partial 16S ribosomal RNA". It matches the Rfam family "Bacterial small subunit ribosomal RNA", at positions 505 to 796 of the family's 1533-position model. The record is from RNAcentral.
GUGCCAGCAGCCGCGGUAAUACGAAGGGUGCUAGCGUUGUUCGGAAUUACUGGGCGUAAAGCGCGCGUAGGCGGCCAUUCAAGUCAGAGGUGAAAGCCCUGGGCUCAACCCAGGAAUUGCCUUUGAAACUGUAUGGCUAGAGUGUCGGAGGGGAUAGCGGAAUUCCUAAUGUAGAGGUGAAAUUCGUAGAUAUUAGGAGGAACACCGGUGGCGAAGGCGGCUAUCUGGACGACAACUGACGCUGAGGCGCGAAAGCACGGGGAUCAAACAGGAUUAGAAACCCGAGUAGUCC